UACGUAGGGCGCAAGCGUUAUCCGGAAUUAUUGGGCGUAAAGAGCUCGUAGGCGGUUUGUCGCGUCUGCCGUGAAAGUCCGGGGCUCAACUCCGGAUCUGCGGUGGGUACGGGCAGACUAGAGUGAUGUAGGGGAGACUGGAAUUCCUGGUGUAGCGGUGAAAUGCGCAGAUAUCAGGAAGAACACCCGUGGCUAAGGCGGUUCUCUAGUACGGUACUGACGCUGAGACGCGAAAGCGUGGGGAGCGAACAGG
This 253-nucleotide ribosomal RNA is filed under the name uncultured bacterium. Its description in RNAcentral is "partial 16S ribosomal RNA". It matches the Rfam family "Bacterial small subunit ribosomal RNA", at positions 524 to 776 of the family's 1533-position model. The record is from RNAcentral.